Molecule: ribosomal RNA, 489 nt
Filed under: uncultured eukaryote
Lineage: Eukaryota
Description: SSU rRNA
Rfam family: Eukaryotic small subunit ribosomal RNA
Source: RNAcentral
GCCAGUAGUCAUAUGCUUGUCUCAAAGAUUAAGCCAUGCAUGUCUAAGUAUAAAUAACUACACAGUAAAACUGCGAAUGGCUCAUUAAAACAGUUAUAGUUUAUUUGAUACAUUAAAUGGAUAACUGUAGGAAACUAGAGCUAAUACAUGCCAAAGUCGUAAGGCUGCAUUUAUUAGAUAUACCAAGACGGUGAAUCAUGAUAACUUAGCAAAUCGAAACCACGUUUCGAUAAAUCAUUCAAGUUUCUGACCUAUCAUGCUCUCGAUGGUAGUGUAUUGGACUACCAUGGCAGUCACGGGUAACGGAGAAUUAGGGUUCGAUUCCGGAGAAGGAGCCUGAGAAACGGCUACUACAUCUACGGAAGGCAGCAGGCGCGUAAAUUACCCAAUCCUAAAUCGGGGAGGUAGUGACAAGAUAUAACAACGACGACUAAAAAUCGCGAUUGUAGUGAGGGUAUUCUAAACAUAGCUUCGAGUACGAUUGGAGGG